This 2740-nucleotide ribosomal RNA is filed under the name Shigella sonnei. RNAcentral's name for it is "bacterial LSU rRNA". It matches the Rfam family "Bacterial large subunit ribosomal RNA". Lineage: Bacteria; Pseudomonadati; Pseudomonadota; Gammaproteobacteria; Enterobacterales; Enterobacteriaceae. The record is from RNAcentral.
AUUAUUAAUUAGUUUGAUAGAAUCACUUAUAGCUUAUACUUGUGUUUCAGUUUAGACGGACCGGUGCCCACCUAAACGUACACAAUCCUCUUCGUCGGCAUCGUCAGAAGUACAUAAGAGACAGGUGUUAGUGGAAGCGUCUGGAAAGGCGCGCGAUACAGGGUGACAGCCCCGUACACAAAAAUACACAUAUUGUGAGCUCGAUGAGUAGGGCGGGACACGUGGUAUCCUGUCUGAAUAUGGGGGGACCAUCCUCCAAGGCUAAAUACUCCUGACUGACCGAUAGUGAACCAGUACCGUGAGGGAAAGGCGAAAAGAACCCCGGCGAGGGGAGUGAAAAAGAACCUGAAACCGUGUACGUACAAGCAGUGGGAGCACGCUUAGGCGUGUGACUGCGUACCUUUUGUAUAAUGGGUCAGCGACUUAUAUUCUGUAGCAAGGUUAACCGAAUAGGGGAGCCGAAGGGAAACCGAGUCUUAACUGGGCGUUAAGUUGCAGGGUAUAGACCCGAAACCCGGUGAUCUAGCCAUGGGCAGGUUGAAGGUUGGGUAACACUAACUGGAGGACCGAACCGACUAAUGUUGAAAAAUUAGCGGAUGACUUGUGGCUGGGGGUGAAAGGCCAAUCAAACCGGGAGAUAGCUGGUUCUCCCCGAAAGCUAUUUAGGUAGCGCCUCGUGAAUUCAUCUCCGGGGGUAGAGCACUGUUUCGGCAAGGGGGUCAUCCCGACUUACCAACCCGAUGCAAACUGCGAAUACCGGAGAAUGUUAUCACGGGAGACACACGGCGGGUGCUAACGUCCGUCGUGAAGAGGGAAACAACCCAGACCGCCAGCUAAGGUCCCAAAGUCAUGGUUAAGUGGGAAACGAUGUGGGAAGGCCCAGACAGCCAGGAUGUUGGCUUAGAAGCAGCCAUCAUUUAAAGAAAGCGUAAUAGCUCACUGGUCGAGUCGGCCUGCGCGGAAGAUGUAACGGGGCUAAACCAUGCACCGAAGCUGCGGCAGCGACGCUUAUGCGUUGUUGGGUAGGGGAGCGUUCUGUAAGCCUGCGAAGGUGUGCUGUGAGGCAUGCUGGAGGUAUCAGAAGUGCGAAUGCUGACAUAAGUAACGAUAAAGCGGGUGAAAAGCCCGCUCGCCGGAAGACCAAGGGUUCCUGUCCAACGUUAAUCGGGGCAGGGUGAGUCGACCCCUAAGGCGAGGCCGAAAGGCGUAGUCGAUGGGAAACAGGUUAAUAUUCCUGUACUUGGUGUUACUGCGAAGGGGGGACGGAGAAGGCUAUGUUGGCCGGGCGACGGUUGUCCCGGUUUAAGCGUGUAGGCUGGUUUUCCAGGCAAAUCCGGAAAAUCAAGGCUGAGGCGUGAUGACGAGGCACUACGGUGCUGAAGCAACAAAUGCCCUGCUUCCAGGAAAAGCCUCUAAGCAUCAGGUAACAUCAAAUCGUACCCCAAACCGACACAGGUGGUCAGGUAGAGAAUACCAAGGCGCUUGAGAGAACUCGGGUGAAGGAACUAGGCAAAAUGGUGCCGUAACUUCGGGAGAAGGCACGCUGAUAUGUAGGUGAAGUCCCUUGCGGAUGGAGCUGAAAUCAGUCGAAGAUACCAGCUGGCUGCAACUGUUUAUUAAAAACACAGCACUGUGCAAACACGAAAGUGGACGUAUACGGUGUGACGCCUGCCCGGUGCCGGAAGGUUAAUUGAUGGGGUCAGCGCAAGCGAAGCUCUUGAUCGAAGCCCCGGUAAACGGCGGCCGUAACUAUAACGGUCCUAAGGUAGCGAAAUUCCUUGUCGGGUAAGUUCCGACCUGCACGAAUGGCGUAAUGAUGGCCAGGCUGUCUCCACCCGAGACUCAGUGAAAUUGAACUCGCUGUGAAGAUGCAGUGUACCCGCGGCAAGACGGAAAGACCCCGUGAACCUUUACUAUAGCUUGACACUGAACAUUGAGCCUUGAUGUGUAGGAUAGGUGGGAGGCUUUGAAGUGUGGACGCCAGUCUGCAUGGAGCCGGCCUUGAAAUACCACCCUUUAAUGUUUGAUGUUCUAACGUGGACCCGUGAUCCGGGUUGCGGACAGUGUCUGGUGGGUAGUUUGACUGGGGCGGUCUCCUCCUAAAGAGUAACGGAGGAGCACGAAGGUUGGCUAAUCCUGGUCGGACAUCAGGAGGUUAGUGCAAUGGCAUAAGCCAGCUUGACUGCGAGCGUGACGGCGCGAGCAGGUGCGAAAGCAGGUCAUAGUGAUCCGGUGGUUCUGAAUGGAAGGGCCAUCGCUCAACGGAUAAAAGGUACUCCGGGGAUAACAGGCUGAUACCGCCCAAGAGUUCAUAUCGACGGCGGUGUUUGGCACCUCGAUGUCGGCUCAUCACAUCCUGGGGCUGAAGUAGGUCCCAAGGGUAUGGCUGUUCGCCAUUUAAAGUGGUACGCGAGCUGGGUUUAGAACGUCGUGAGACAGUUCGGUCCCUAUCUGCCGUGGGCGCUGGAGAACUGAGGGGGGCUGCUCCUAGUACGAGAGGACCGGAGUGGACGCAUCACUGGUGUUCGGGUUGUCAUGCCAAUGGCACUGCCCGGUAGCUAAAUGCGGAAGAGAUAAGUGCUGAAAGCAUCUAAGCACGAAACUUGCCCCGAGAUGAGUUCUCCCUGACCCUUUAAGGGUCCUGAAGGAACGUUGAAGACGACGACGUUGAUAGGCCGGGUGUGUAAGCGCAGCGAUGCGUUGAGCUAACCGGUACUAAUGAACCGUGAGGCUUAACCUU